UUCAUAAGAAAUGUCUACUAUGAAAAGAAUGUCAUGACAACAGCCCUAGACUGGGAUACCAACCUAGCAUAAUAAGCAUUCUACAAUUCCCAUAAUAAGCUUCCCACAGUUCCCAACUAGCAGCAUUUAUAUUGAAAUUUUCAUAAGAAAUGUCUACUAUGAAAAGAAUGUCAUGACAACAGCCCUAGACUGGGAUACCAACCUAGCAUAAUAAGCCUUCUACAAUUCCCAUAAUAAGCUUCCCACAGUUCCCAACUAGCAGCAUUUAGAUUGAAAGAGAAGACAACAGAACAUAUUCUUUAAAUUAUAUGAGGCUGGUGAGCUAUUAAAAGACCUAAACUUCAACAGUUCAUAAUCCUACCAACAUUUACACCAAUCAGGGAGAAUAAUUGCAAAUAACAAAUCACAAAACAAAAGCUAUAAUAAGAACAAGCAAUCCAUAAUAUAUAUAUGAUUAAACGCUUCAGCAUCAUAAGAUCCAUGAAAACUAGUUCAAUUAAAACUAAUAGAAAAGUAGAUCGAAACACAUAAUACAUUGUUCAUACAUAAACUACAUUGUUCUUAAACCAAAAAAUAAAACAUUACAUCAUUAAGUUCGAAACCAUUUAUGUACUUUCAGAAGAAGAAGAUGGAUGAGGAUCAAGGCUUGGCACAGGUGCUUGAGUGGCAGCAUAGCGGACCCUAUCUGUCCAGCGAAAUGCUGUCACAACAAUGCUGCGACUUUCUGGAACGAACCUCAGAUGAACCCAAUCGUUGGGAUGGAUUUCAUAGGCCUCCACAAACUCCUGCCAACCAGCUCCAAAUAUGAUGUAGUUCCGAUUGUUGCAUGUUAGCUCGACGUCAUCCCUGAUCCACGGGUACGACUUCAGGCGAAACUGAAAUUGACCCAUUCCUGCUUCUACAAGUCUUCUAUAGAAUGGUCCGUGAGCAUUGAUCUAUAGAAAUNNNNNNNNNNNNNNNNNNNNNNNNNNNNNNNNNNNNNNNNNNNNNNNNNNNNNNNNNNNNNNNNNNNNNNNNNNNNNNNNNNNNNNNNNNNNACAAAUUUCUUCCAUCCUCUGCCCAACACAACGAAAUCAUGACGUCGUCGCACAGAAACUUCCCAGCUUCGGUUAUAACCGUCCAAGUGAACCGAACCAUGUUUUUCGUUGUCUUCUACCAUGUAUUUGUUAGAAAAUGACAAUGGUAUCUCCUGCAACGUCAAAGAAAUGAUUAGGACUGAUAGAUGCAACGGGAGUAUAAAAUUUCAUGAAAUAACUCAUACCAAUUCAGUGUCGUUAAUCCCCGCCUUGUCAAACUUGGCAAGGAAGAAAGGAAGAUCGUUCGGGCUGAGUUUUUCCAUUGAUAACAGUGAAAACUUGAAAGGGAUUGAAACUGGUUCGGUGUAAACUGGGGAAGCCUUUUGUUGAAGAAAGUGGUUUUCAGAAAAGUAACACAACCUUUCAGAUUAUAAAGCAAGCCAAAGGGUAAGCACGCAAGCCAAAGGGUAAGCACGAUGUUGGUCAAUUGCAUUAACUGUCCACUUGUUUCAUGAUGUCAGCCACACUCAAUUGUCUAAAUCAUGACAUAAACUUACAAGUAUCAAGAGUCGAGCGAAAUCAUGACCUAUAAGUGUAGCCAAAUCAUGACCUAUGUGUACCCAAAAUGACCUAAGUCUACUACUCAUAUGAGCUAAGUUUACUAGUAAUUUGUGACAACUCGCACAUAUAAGUAGACUUUCUGGAAAACUGUUCUUCAUGUACCCAAAAUGACCCAAGUCUACAAGUACUAAUAACACAAGUAGACUUUCUGGAAAUCUGUUCUUCAUAAAGAUACAGGGAAGAUACAAUUACUAGGCCUAUGAAUUGUGUUUAUGAAUCCACAUUUGUUGGCCCAAAUACGGUAAGUGUGUUGGCCCAAGAAACAGAAUAAUGUGAAUCGAAAGUAGUUGGGGAGCGAAACCCUAAUCCUGUCAGGUUGUUGUCUCUUGAUGUAUGAGCUACAACCCUAAAACUAUUACAUCAAUGAAAUAUGAUUGUGAUCCCUUCACGGCUCGAAUGGUCAUAAUAACAUCUGCCUCUUUGUUUUUCUUUUAAUUUUCUUGAGUGAAUAUUUGAGGAUUGAAUAAACCCUAUAUUUGGUAUUUUAUAUCAAGUUAAUUACAUUAAUUAUGGUCAUUACUUGCAGUGUAGUAGUGUCAUCAUUACUUGCUGCAGAGUUGUAGUACACUUGCUUCAUGAUGUAAGCCACACUCAAUAGUCUAAAUCAUGACAUAAGUCUACCUAAAUCAUCAUGACCUAAAAGUGUAGCCAAAUCAUGAGAUAUGUGUACCCAAAAUCACCAAAUUCUACUACUCACAUGAGCUAAGUUUACUAGAAAUUUGCAAAGUCUACAUUUAACAUAAGACAAAACUACUAUUUUCAUAAUAAAUGUCCACCAUUAACAUAAGAGAAAUCAAAGAAAAGUAGACUUUCUGGAAAUCUAAAUUGUUAUUGAGAUUGAAGCAACCCAAGGUAAAAGAUGCAAAAUCUACAUUUAACAUAAGACACAACUACUUUUUUCAUGAGAAAUGUCUAUGAUUAACAUAAGACAUGUCUAUCUUGGAUCGCCAACGUGUCAUCUCUCUUGCUCUCCAUUGGCCGAACCCUACAGCACUUGGAUCGCCACGUGUCAUGCUCCCAGCCGUCCGCUCUAUACCCUAAUUCAAAUCUCGAUCGCACAAUCAUGUAAACCCCGAAGGCAACAGUUGCAAAUCCGUAUUAAAAAAGUAAAAAAUUAUUCACACCCUUUAACACCGUUAACCCCUAACUCUUGUAUCGUUUUGUUUGUGGUUGAAAUUCGUAAUCCAAAAAAACAUAAGUUGUUGAAAUUGAUUGACACCCUUUAACACCGUUAAGUCACCCUUUUAAAAUCCAAUUGAAUCCUCAACACUCUUGCGCAUAACUCUCUCUUUCUAUCCUUACUCUCUUCCCACCAGCCCUAGGGCAUUCUAAUUGAUUUUGAAGUUUUGAAUGCCCUAGAUGCCGCCGAAGAAGAAACCCCCGGUGAAAAAACAAACGAAAAAGUCGCCGCCGAAGAAGGCCCCGACGAAGAAGCCCAAGGCUGUCCAAGAGAGGAAAAGGGCUAAUGCCUCGGACGCAGAUGGAAGGGCGAGGAAGAGUUCCCGAUUGUUGGGUAUCGAUCCACCAAGCAGCAGCUCCGACACUGUCUUUGAUCCCCAAGUGCGAUUAGUGGAGCAAGACAAAAAGAAACUGGCAAUUGAGAAGUUGUCGAAUUCAGCUCUUGACUCCAGUGCCCCAUGCUCUAUGUUGGUUAUUGCGAAUGAAGCUGCGGCGGAGGCGUCAAAACCCGAAAUGGCCGGUGAGGAGGCAAAAUCUAGUAAGGUUGCAAAGAUGAGGUCUCCACUGAAGCCCAAGCUGAAGAAAAACUCCAACAAAGGGGGGAUAUUUUUAAAUUACCUGUAAGUUUGUUCAAUGUUUGUUUCGACUGUAUGAAUUCUGUGGAACUGUGUUUGUUUACUAUUUCGAUUGUAUGGUUACGGACUGCAUGUUUCGAUUGUAUGAAUUCUGCAGUCAUAUCAGGCACAAGACCAUCAAUCCCCCACAGGAGAUGAAUAACACUGUGAGUACCGUCUUCGGAUUGCAUUGUAUCUUGAUUUGUGGGUUGUUAGUUGCCUUAUAUGUGUGGGUUCCUAGAUCUAUUUCGUAUGUUGAUGCUUGUAUGAAGUGAUUGUGUAUUGAUUUUGUUUCAGUUCCUCUUGGAGUCUUCACAAGAAUGGAGUAUGUUUCCUCUCGAGAAAAAACAAAAGUACAUUCCAGAGCCAUCACAUACCACAGAUGAUGCUUCUGAUGAGUCUUUGGAACUGGUAACACUUGACAGUAGAUGCUCUCCAAAGUCCUUCAGGAGUGUGGUUUCUCAGUUUAGUGAUGUGAAGAAGGCAGCAUGUGAAGAGCUCUGUUUUGGUGUGUUGUUGAAGAUUGCUGGGACGAGACUGCGCCACUCGAUGGUGCGCGCUCUUGUGGAUUUGGUAGACCCCGAAAAAGGAACCAUUCAGCUGUAUGGGAAGUUGAUUGAAAUUUUUGCGUCUGAUGUUGCUCAGGUGAUGGGGUUGUAGAAUGGUGGGGAGGAGGUCAUUCAGGCUGGUUCGUUCAAGGAUCACCCUGAGUUGAUGGAUAUAAUCAGUCAGUUCUCUCGGUCUGAUGGGAAGAUCUAUUCGAAGGAGUUGGUGAGGUAUUUGGUGGAUCCUCAAACGGUAGCCGACGACAAAUUCAAGCGAGUGUUUGUUUGGUUCACACUGACCACUAUCCUCAGGCCCACUGCCUCACUCUCCCUUCCGAAGAAGUGGUUGGUACUCCUCAAGGACACUAGCCGCAUCUCAUCCAUGAACUGGGCUGCUUACUCUUUCCUAUGGUUGAUGAAUGGAAUCAAGGAGUUCAAGGGUGAUAAGACCUACUGCAGCGGAAACCUCCUUUUUCUCCAGCNNNNN
This 4462-nucleotide long non-coding RNA is filed under the name Fragaria vesca (wild strawberry). Its description in RNAcentral is "long non-coding RNA (FVES_LNC003601)". The record is from RNAcentral. Lineage: Eukaryota; Viridiplantae; Streptophyta; Magnoliopsida; Rosales; Rosaceae.